RNAcentral lists this ribosomal RNA (1117 nucleotides) under human gut metagenome. Its description in RNAcentral is "bacterial LSU rRNA". It matches the Rfam family "Bacterial large subunit ribosomal RNA", at positions 1265 to 2462 of the family's 2925-position model. The record is from RNAcentral.
AAGCGGCUGUGGAGUGUAUAGAAGUGAGAAUGCCGGAAUGAGUAGCGCGAAUGCAGUGAGAAUCUGCAUGGCCGAAAGCCUCAGGUUUCUGGAGGAAGGUUCGUCCGCUCCAGGUUAGUCGGGAGCUAAGGUGAGGCCGGAAGGCGUAGCCGAUGCACAGACGGUAGAGAUUCCGUCACCACCAAAAGAGUUAAGCACAGGGACACAUUUGAAGUCUCAGAGCCGGGUGUUGGUUCCGGUAGAGAUCGAGGGAAGUUAGUACCGAAGUCUGAGAUGGAAGAUGGCGAGAAAAGCUGUGUGUAUUUCUGAGGUGCCCGUACCGCAAACCGACACAGGUAGGUAGGAAGAAGAUUCUAAGGCCAACGGGAGAAGGGUUGUUAAGGAACUCGGCAAAUUGACCCCGUAACUUCGGGAGAAGGGGUGCUCCAGAGAUGGAGCCGCAGAGAAUCGGCCCAAGCAACUGUUUACCAAAAACACAGGUUUGUGCUAAAUCGAAAGAUGACGUAUACGAGCUGACGCCUGCCCGGUGCUGGAAGGUUAAGAGGAGAUGUGCAAGCAUUGAAUCGAAGCCCCAGUGAACGGCGGCCGUAACUAUAACGGUCCUAAGGUAGCGAAAUUCCUUGUCAGGUAAGUUCUGACCCGCAUGAAAGGCGUAAUGAUUUGGGCACUGUCUCAACAGCCCGCCCGGCGAAAUUGUAGUACCGGUGAAGAUGCCGGUUACCCGCGACAAGACGGAAAGACCCCAUGGAGCUUUACUGUAGCCUAAUAUUGGGUUUCGAUGUUGCAUGCACAGGAUAGAUGGGACUCUGGGAAACCAAGGCUUUGGCUUUGGCGGAGAGGCCGUUGGGAUACCAUCCUUGCGAUAUUGGAAUUCUAACCUGCGGCUCUGAAUCGAGUCGGGGGACAUUGUUAGGUGGGCAGUUUGACUGGGGCGGUCGCCUCCUAAAGAGUAACGGAGGCGUUCAAAGGUUCGCUCAGCUUGAACGGAAAUCAAGCAAAAGAGUGCAAACGCAGAAGCGAGCCUAACUGCGAGACUGACGGGUCGAGCAGUAACGAAAGUUGGAGUUAGUGAUCCGGUGGUAUGUGAGUGGAAAUGCCAUCGCUCAACGGAUAAAAG